Molecule: long non-coding RNA, 474 nt
Filed under: Phascolarctos cinereus (koala)
Lineage: Eukaryota; Metazoa; Chordata; Mammalia; Diprotodontia; Phascolarctidae
Description: lncRNA (ENSPCIG00000031655.1)
Source: RNAcentral
CUGGAAUCAACACCUUCAUGACUGUGAUAGAAAUGGCUAUGAAACCAAACCGUGGACUCCAAUCUCAGGGAGCUUGGGUUUCUUGGCUACCACCAGAUGUGUUGAAGGAGCUGUGCUUGAUGGCAUCCUCAAAGCAUUUAGCAUCCCAUAAGUACUGAGUUACCAGUAAUGACAAAAUGGAGAGGAACCUUGGACAAAUAAAUCACAGGUAGUAAUAUCAAAUGCUGAUGUUCCUGAAACAAAGAGAUUUGAGAGACCAACAGGACACCUGGAAAUAGUUUUCUACUCCUCUGCUUACUUAGAAGAGACAGUGAAGUAGAAAUGAAGCCUUCCUAUGUAUGUUUGUGUUCUGAUUUCUUUCUCUGUUUUUUGCUACACUUCAAGAAAUAUUAUGCAGUUAAUUUCCUUAACUUUCAGUAUUUUAUAAAAAUACUAAAAGGCAUUUGAUCUUAAACACAUUAAAUAAUGCAGUCC